This 253-nucleotide ribosomal RNA is filed under the name uncultured bacterium. RNAcentral's name for it is "partial 16S ribosomal RNA". It matches the Rfam family "Bacterial small subunit ribosomal RNA", at positions 524 to 776 of the family's 1533-position model. The record is from RNAcentral.
GGCAGAGGGUGCAAACGUUGUUCGGAAUUACUGGGCGUAAAGCGUGUGUAGGCGGCUACAUAAGUCGGAUGUGAAAGCCCCGGGCUCAACCCGGGAAGUGCACUCGAUACUGCGUAGCUUGAGUCUCGGAGAGGUUGGUGGAAUUCUCGGUGUAGAGGUGAAAUUCGUAGAUAUCGAGAGGAACACCGGUGGCGAAGGCGGCCAACUGGACGAAGACUGACGCUGAGACGCGAAAGCGUGGGGAGCAAACAGG